This 253-nucleotide ribosomal RNA is filed under the name uncultured bacterium. Its description in RNAcentral is "partial 16S ribosomal RNA". It matches the Rfam family "Bacterial small subunit ribosomal RNA", at positions 524 to 776 of the family's 1533-position model. The record is from RNAcentral.
GACAGAGGGUGCAAACGUUGUUCGGAAUUACUGGGCGUAAAGCGCGUGUAGGCGGCUAAGUAAGUCGGGCGUGAAAUCCCACGGCUCAACCGUGGAAGUGCACUCGAAACUGCAUAGCUAGAGUCCUGGAGAGGAAGGUGGAAUGCUUGGUGUAGAGGUGAAAUUCGUAGAUAUCAAGCGGAACACCGGUGGCGGAGGCGGCCUUCUGGACAGUGACUGGCGGUGAGGCGCGAAAGCGUGGGGAGCAAACAGG